Molecule: ribosomal RNA, 574 nt
Filed under: Salmonella enterica subsp. enterica serovar Kentucky
Lineage: Bacteria; Pseudomonadati; Pseudomonadota; Gammaproteobacteria; Enterobacterales; Enterobacteriaceae
Description: partial 23S ribosomal RNA
Rfam family: Bacterial large subunit ribosomal RNA
Source: RNAcentral
AAAGCGUAUACAAAGUCGAGUCGGUUUAAGGAUACGUUCGUUGGGUAGGGGAGCGUUCUGUAAGCCUGCGAAGGUGGCCUGUGAGGGUUGCUGGAGGUAUCAGAAGUGCGAAUGCUGACAUAAGUAACGAUAAAGCGGGUGAAAAGCCCGCUCGCCGGAAGACCAAGGGUUCCUGUCCAACGUUAAUCGGGGCAGGGUGAGUCGACCCCUAAGGCGAGGCCGAAAGGCGUAGUCGAUGGGAAACGGGUUAAUAUUCCCGUACUUGGUGUUACUGCGAAGGGGGGACGGAGAAGGCUAUGUUGGCCGGGCGACGGUUGUCCCGGUUUAAGCGUGUAGGUGUGUGUUCCAGGUAAAUCCGGUUCACUUUAACACUGAGGCGUGAUGACGAGGCACUACGGUGCUGAAGCAACAAAUGCCCUGCUUCCAGGAAAAGCCUCUAAGCAUCAGGUAACAUCAAAUCGUACCCCAAACCGACACAGGUGGUCAGGUAGAGAAUACCAAGGCGCUUGAGAGAACUCGGGUGAAGGAACUAGGCAAAAUGGUGCCGUAACUUCGGGAGAAGGCACGCUGACAC